AUACAUUAUGGUAAAUCUUUGUUUACAGAAUUUUUUGCUGCUUCACAGGUCUCUGAUGCUGUUAAAUUCACAAGAGUAUUUCUUUAAAAGUUAAGAAGCCUGUUUUGUAUGGUAAUCUCUGGAAACACAUCUCAAAGGGUGCUUUUGGGAGGGGGAAAUGGGAGGAGGGUCAGAGGGUACCCAAAUCAAGCAGAAGUGGUGAAGGUCAAACAAUUGGCGGUAAAGAUGGGCAACUAUGGCAGGUGGAACAAAGUAUCUCCAAAAUGGACUUCAACCACACAGCUGAAGCAGUAUUGGGGUUUUGUGGGGUGGGAGUAUAUGUUGUUCUUAAAGUAACCUUUGUUCCCUGCCCAGUAAAUGGAAUUCAGCACUGCCCUGCAUUCUAUACCUUUGUGAUAAUGCUUUGAAUGCUGCCUUCGGUUCUGCCAAGGAGAGAAAGAUAUAUCAAGUUGGGCUUGGCUUUGGAGGCCAGAUGAGGCUUUUGAUCAUGUUACUCCUGAUGCAGAAAUUACUGCCUGUGCCAGGUCUUCAAAGGUAAUGGUUACAGAUUCAUGCCUCAGUACUGAUCCUAUGUAUCUGAUACAUUCAUAGUUAGAUGAGCAUGGGGCAUUGAUGGGCCAGCUGGCUUGAAAAAUCACAUAGUGAUGCUGUCUUCCCCAUCCAUACACAGUUUUAGGAAUGUUUUACCCUUUUUAGCAUUGACAGAAGAACUUCGCAAGUGUACAAUAUAUUUAAGCUCAGUUUCAGGAAAAACUGAGGGAUGAAUUCAAAUAUUGAUUAAUUAUUUAAUUGAAGUGAACCACUGUUUUAUCAGAAAAAAACUAAAGCAUCUGUUAUCUGACUGGAGUGAGUGAGAUAUGAGAUGCCUGUUAAGUUUCAGCUGUGGAUUUUUUUGAGCUUUUUAGUAAUGUUAUUCCCCAGGGAGAUAAGACUUUAUUUCAGAAAACUGCAAUUACAUGAUGUCAUUGUAAUUGGAUAUUUCAAGGAAAGAGGUGAGAGAUAGUGACAACCACAGAUAAUAUAAAAUGCUUGUUACCCAACAUGCAGCUUUGUCUUUAAUAAAUAAAUGUUAUACAUUUACCACCAGCAUAUUUCAGGGUAAGACGUUUCAACAUUUGUUCAUUACUGGUGUUUGGUUUUUCUUCCCCGCUUUAUUUUCAUGUUUCAUUAUAUCUGUGACAUUGUGAUCUUGCACACAAGAACUCUCUUUUAAUGACUCCGUAGUGCGUAGAAAAUGGCGCUUUGUAGUUGUUGUUUUUACUGACAAGUUAUAUUUGGACUGAUACAAUCAUAGAGUAUAAAAUCUGAAGUAAACACAUUUUCCUAGAACAAUUUAGACAAUGGACUAUAUAUAUAUGUUUUCUUUUUGGACUGUUAAGAGAGAGAUUGCAAUAGAAAAGAAAAAGAUACAAUGAGCUGCAUAAAUAUUCUUAGAGACUAAGUUCAUAUUUUAAAAAAUAGAAAUAAUUUCAUUUGUGAGGAUUAUCCAUAAAAAUUAAGGAUUAUUAAAUUAUUUCCACUCAUUAAACAUGCAGGCUUGUUUCAGUCACAUUCAGGGACAAUAAAAGUGUGUUCCAACCGGGCACCUGCAACAAAUAAACACUUCAAUUGAAAGAGCGUCAGGGUGAUUUCACUGCCGGGGACAUCAAGACUUGCAAGUCCUGAUUUAACAAGUAAUGUGCAUGGAAGCUUGCAACCAUGCACACCUCUAACAGGAGGGUUUCCUUGGAGGAUUUGCUUCUUCAGAGUCUAUAUCCAAUACCAAUAUAAAGAGAAUUAAGGUCAAAAUAUAUAAAUUAAGUUUAUUGAUGAUCCAUUAAUUGGAUUUUACAGCAUUUUAAUGUGUUUAUGGAUUCAGAAUAUGUCGUGGUUAUGGAGGAUUUAUGAUACUGCUAAAAGAGCAAUUUAGGAUUUAAUCGCUUGGUUAUCUGCCCAUGAGAUUUGUCAAGAGAAAUGAUGAGGAAAUUGCCCUGUAUCGAUUUGCUUUUUUUUUUUUUAAACAAACACCAGGGCUUUAAGCACUAAUUGUAGCCCUUCCUGAUCUUGUGCUCCCCUAUGGCAGAUUCAGAAGAUCUGUCCCAGAAGACUUCAUCGCGCCCUUGGAGCUCCAGCAGAAACAGUUUGGCUUAGUGGAUGAUUAUGGCCUUCAACCACGCCACCCCAAGUUCCAGAUACGGAAACAACGUAAAGAGUCAGAAACACUGCACAGAUCACAUAAAAGCAAAAGGGACGAACCCAAUUUUGAAGAGUAUUAUUACGAUGACCUCCUUUGAAAAGUGACAAGAGAACAUGCUGUUUUGCAUAGCCUUGCCUGGUAAAACAGCCAAAUGCAUACAGCAAUAAUCCCCAUUCUGUUACUUAACACUAUUCUAGAAACUUUCCUUGCAGCUCUGUAUUUUCUGUGUGUCCCUAUCAUAAACACAACGUUUUAAGAUGA
Molecule: non-coding RNA, 2437 nt
Organism: Notechis scutatus (mainland tiger snake)
Lineage: Eukaryota; Metazoa; Chordata; Lepidosauria; Squamata; Elapidae
Source: RefSeq, a predicted model, not a curated record